Molecule: long non-coding RNA, 1448 nt
Organism: Pocillopora verrucosa
Lineage: Eukaryota; Metazoa; Cnidaria; Anthozoa; Scleractinia; Pocilloporidae
Source: RefSeq, a predicted model, not a curated record
AUCGACAAAUAAACAUUAUAGAAGAACUUAAGGAAAAGGUUGCACACACGCGACUUUAUUGCUCUAAGUUAAAUUCAGCAACGUACAGCGCCGGUGACGUGUGGCGUGCCGUGCAUUUAUGUGGGCCCACUGUGUUUUAAGUUGCGCGUACAAGAGAAGGAAACUAAGUCCGAACAAAAUAACGGAAGGAAACUAAGUUCGAACGGGGAAAUCAAGUCAGCUUAGUCAAGUAAAUAACACACAGAAGCAAGAAGAAGUAAUGGUAAAUUUUUAUUUAGAGUAAACUAAUACAUUGGCGAAGUGACCAGUAGGACGUUGGCCAAGCGACUCAUCGCGUUGGCCAAGCGACCAAAGACGUUGGCGAACGUGACGUUGGCGAAAUCACUCGUUGGCGAAAUCACCAGAUACCUGUACAGCAAUUGAACGCAGCAACCGUCAAGUCUGAUCGAAUUGGGAGCUCUAUAAAGGUUUUGGUGUGAGUGUAGGCCGCUUUGAUUGAUUUGUGCGCUAUAUGCUUCAGAACUCAGUAUUUACGGAGCAUGCGUCUGUAAAACACAAAGUUCAAGUGAUGAAGUGUUUAUGAACGCGUUAUGCAGAUAUCCAUCUUGUCUAAGUGGGCUCGAAGCAGACUGUUUGCAAACUUCACAUACAAAGAUACGGGAGAAAAGUUAUCGUAUUUGCUAAUAUGCCACUUCGGUUCAUCGAUUGUGACAGGAGCCUAUCAUCAUUUCAUCUGAUCAGUUUGGAUCGCCGACGGAAUUUCCUUUUUUAGAUCAACAAAGAGCUACUCAUAGGAGCUAGACUGGCUGGAAUCCUGGCAGCAUCAUUGACAAAUGGCGUUUAAUCCUUUCAAAUGCAAAAUUUCUACCAUCUCAGAUAAGGACAAUCCACCCCAGAGAAAAUACGUCAUCUGUGGUGUAGAGUUGGUAGCUUCCCAUACCUAGGGGUUACCAUCAGUAACAAGCUCAAGUGGUGAGCCCAUGUUUCCAUGACAGCAACUAAAGCAAACACAUCGCCGUGUACAAUACAACGCAACCUUUGAAAUUGUCCAAAGAAUGUAAAGGAAAUUGCAUAUCCAUCCCUGGUGCGACCGAAGCUGGAAUAAACAAGUGUGGCUUGGGACCUGUUUUCGACGUUUUUAAAGAAAGACAUCAGUGCUCUGGAAAGCGUUCGACGUAAAGCAGCUCAGUUCUGCCCACAGAAUUGUAAUAGACAUGCGAGUGUUACGGACAUGAUCAAAGACUUAGGGUGGGCCACGCUGGAAACGAGAAGAAGGCAGUCUAGGUUAACACUUAUGUACAAACUAACUCAUGGUCUUAUUGAUAUAGAUGGCUGAGAAUAUUUAAUUCAACACUUUGAGAGCCGCACGAGGGGAAGCCAUCGAUUUAAAUUUCGCGUGCCGUAUGCAAAUAAACACGUUUUUAAAUUCUCGUUUUUUCCAAAAACUA